Molecule: long non-coding RNA, 572 nt
Organism: Canis lupus familiaris (dog)
Lineage: Eukaryota; Metazoa; Chordata; Mammalia; Carnivora; Canidae
Exons: 2
Source: RefSeq, a predicted model, not a curated record
UGAGCCCACCUUGUAACGGUCCAGGUAAACACCAUUUUCAGAAGAGUGUGUGGGUGGACCGCGGUGGGGAGUUAGUUGAAGAGGCAGGGCAGAGGCCUUGAGAAACACCAAGAGAUGAAGAAGAGGGAUGGCUGGGGAAUAGAAGAGGCACUGCAAGGCUGAAUUCUCUAAGGAACGAAAUCUGUAGCAAAUGGAUUUUAAUUUUAUACUUAGGAGUACAGAGACAAGGGGCCUACAUCACCUCACUCAAGGAUGGAAACUAGUUGCCAUCAGAACUGGAGGAUUGGAGCUCUCAGUUCCAGUCUCCUGACCUAGCAGGAAAGAGGGGCUCUGGAUUGAAUCCAUCACCAACGGCCAAUGUUUUGAUCAGUCAUGCCUAUGUAAUGAAGUCUCAUAAAAACCCAAAAGGACAGAAGGUGGAGAGUAUCUGGGUUGUUGAACAAAUGGAUAUGAGCAUGGAAACGUGUAACCCUUUCCUGUACCCUGUCCUAAGCGUUUCUUCCCCCUGGCUGUUACUGAGUUACAUCUUUUUAUAAUGAACUGGUGAUUUAGUAAGUAAAAUGUUCCUGUGA